Brassica napus (rape) is the source of this 2679-nucleotide long non-coding RNA. RefSeq lists it as uncharacterized. Lineage: Eukaryota; Viridiplantae; Streptophyta; Magnoliopsida; Brassicales; Brassicaceae. The transcript is spliced from 3 exons. The record is from RefSeq and is a predicted model, not a curated record.
AACAAACACGGUUUGUGCUUCAACUAAGAAUUGAAGAAGAACUAAAAGGCAAUGUGAAAAAUAAAGUUCUCCAUGAAACUGCGAGAAAGACAAUUGCAGACAAGUUUUAUGAUACAUAUGGGGUGAGGCAUCCAUGGAUAAAGUUUAGGAACAAGUUCAACUCUUGCAAGAAGCAAUAUGGAGCUAUGAAGAGAUUGACUCACAAUAGAACUGGACUGGGAUAUCAUCCAGAUGGCUCAAUAGACAUGAGUGAUGAUUGGUGGGAGCAGCGUUGUAAGGAAUGACCUGGAGCUAGAAAAUACAAAGAUAAACCAGUGGCAAAUGCAGAUCUAAUGGAACAGAUUUUCAGUGGGGUUCAUGUAAGUGGAGCAGAAGGGUGGAGUGCUCAGCAAGGUGAAAAUGAGUUAGACAAUAUGGAGGUAGAGAAUGAUGAUGCCGCAUCUGAAGCAAGGCAAACCGAUCCUCCAGCAAGGCAAACCAAUCCUGAACCAGAUGCUCCCUCAUCCUCUAAUGGUCCACGAGUCUCCAAUGCUCCACAAGCCUCUACUGUCCCAAAGCCUUCUCGGAAAAGGCGUACAGAACAAGCAGCAGAUGUUAUGAGAAGUAGUCUUCAAUCACGUGAUGAGAUACUCUCUUACAAAAACCACCUAAUAGAAAGCCGUCCAGAUUUGAGUUGCAGCCAGCUUAAGGCUAUGAGUGUCUUGCAUUCACUGUCUAGUAUCAGAAUGUGGUCUCCAUUGUACAAAGCUGCUUAUAAACAUCUCAGGGAAGCUGCUACAAAUCGACAGACGUUCCUAAGUUAUGAAGAUGACGAGAACAAGAUUAUCUAUUUGGAGGAAGAGACCGGUGAAAGCAGAUAUGCAUGAGUUUUAUGUUCUCCUAUUUAGUGUCUAAGUAUUGUGUUUCUCUCUAUCUGUUUGGGUCUUGUGUUUCUCUUUAUCUUUAUGCAUGACAUUUAUUUAUGACAUUUUCCUUCUAUGAAAAAAUAUUAGUAUUUGUUAACUCUUUUUACCUUCAUGCUUGUGGUAGAAUUUCAGUAUUUGAAUAUGAUAUUGUUUAACAGGUUUACUUGUUAUUUAGCAGAUAUGCGACGAGACAACAUCAUUAGAUACAUUUGCAUUGCUAACUGAGGAUGAUGAUAUGGAUUUGUUAGAAGAGGAAUAGCUCAUGUAUCAUAUGCUAGAAGAUGUUUAUGGAGUUACAAAUCUUCCUUCUCUUCCUCGACAAAUGCUCAGAACAAACAAAGGUGGAGGUUGGCGCCGUGUUCAGCGCCUCAUGUUUGAGAGUGACAAGCAAUGUUUUGACAUCUUAAGGAUGAAUCAAGGUACUUUUAAGAAUCUGUGCUUUAGGCUUCGACAAUACUACAAACUUGAAGAAUCACAAAACGUCUAUCAUGAAGAGAGUGUGGCAAUGUUUGUUGAAAUGGUUGCACAAGAUUUAACAGUUCGAGCUUUAGCUGAGAGAUAUCAACGUUCAGUAGAUAUGGUGGAUAGAAAACUAGAUCAAGUUCUCUCUGCUCUAUUAAAGCUUGCUGCAGACAUCAUUAAGCCAUCAAGAGGAGAGUUUACUACUCCAUGUCCUGUUCUAGUAAACAAUGAUAGGUAGGUUCUUGAUAUGAUCUCUCCACAUUUUUUCAGUAAGUUCUCUCUCUGAUCUCUCUUUUGUUUACAGGUACAUGCCAUUUUUUGAAGACUGUAUUGGUGCUUUGGACGGAACUCACUUACCUGUUCGUCCUCCGUCUGAUAAUCCGGAACCGUAUAGAGGCAGGAAAGGAGAACCGACAAUCAAUGUUCUCGCAAUAUGCAAUAUGAUAAUGCGAUUCAUCUAUGGGAGUUCCUGGUAGAGAUCAUGACACGAAAGUUCUUACACAUUGUGCGACACAUGAACCAUUCUUCCCUCAUCCACCAGAUGGUAAGUACUAUCUAGUUGAUUCCGGUUAUCCAACUAGAACCGGUUAUCUAGGUCCGCAUCGUAGAACUAGGUAUCAUCUUGACCAGUUUGCUAGGGGAGGACCACCAACAAACUCUAGAGAACUGUUUAACCGGAGGCAUGCUAGUUUACGUUCUGUGAUUGAAAGAACAUUUGGUGUUUGGAAAGCGAAGUGGAGGAUUUUAGAUAGAAAACAUCCGAAGUAUGAUGUUAUAAAGUGGGUGAAGAUUGUGACAGCAACUAUGGCACUUCACAAUUUUAUUCGAGAUUCAUCUGAUGAAGACCGUGAUUUCACUUAUUGGGAAACAGUAAAUGAGUAUGAACAUCAUGGUGACCAAGCAGUAGAAGAGCUUGAGCAUACUCCAUACCUUCCAUCUGGUGAUAGAGCAAUGGAGAUUCGACGUGAUGCAAUCACUGAAAGGAUAGCAAGAGGAAGUCGACUUCCAUAUUAGCUUCACAUAUGAUCAUCAAGCAGUCACUUCCUCCAGGUUUGAGUGUUCAAGACAUUUGAAGAUCAUCUUCUUGAAGUUAAGAGAUUAUGUUUACUAUUGUUCAGACUUGAGUUUUUAUGUCAAGAGUUUAUAUUUCAGAUUUGAGUGUUUCAGUUUUUGAAUGUUUUGAGUCAAGACUUUGAGUUUUUAUUUUGUUAUUUUAAGACUUUGAAUUUUGAGUUUAAUGUUUAUUAUUGUUAUUUUAUAAUGUUAUAAACCAUGAAAAAUUAAAUUUGAUAUUUAUUUUUAUUUAUGUCUA